This 932-nucleotide ribosomal RNA is filed under the name uncultured Moraxella sp. RNAcentral describes it as "bacterial SSU rRNA". It matches the Rfam family "Bacterial small subunit ribosomal RNA", at positions 73 to 1001 of the family's 1533-position model. The record is from RNAcentral. Lineage: Bacteria; Pseudomonadati; Pseudomonadota; Gammaproteobacteria; Moraxellales; Moraxellaceae.
UACCAGCUUGCUGGUAUGAUUAGUGGCGAACGGGUGAGUAAUGCUUAGGAAUCUGCCUAUUAGUGGGGGACAACAUUCCGAAAGGAAUGCUAAUACCGCAUACGUCCUAUGGGAGAAAGCAGGGGAUCGCAAGACCUUGCGCUAAUAGAUGAGCCUAAGUCGGAUUAGCUAGUUGGUGGGGUAAAGGCCUACCAAGGCGACGAUCUGUAGCUGGUCUGAGAGGAUGAUCAGCCACACUGGGACUGAGACACGGCCCAGACUCCUACGGGAGGCAGCAGUGGGGAAUAUUGGACAAUGGGCGAAAGCCUGAUCCAGCCAUGCCGCGUGUGUGAAGAAGGCCUUUUGGUUGUAAAGCACUUUAAGUGGGGAGGAAAAGCUAAUAAUUAAUACCUAUUAGCCCUGACGUUACCCACAGAAUAAGCACCGGCUAACUCUGUGCCAGCAGCCGCGGUAAUACAGAGGGUGCAAGCGUUAAUCGGAAUUACUGGGCGUAAAGCGAGCGUAGGUGGUCAUUUAAGUCAGAUGUGAAAUCCCCGGGCUUAACCUGGGAACUGCAUCUGAUACUGGGUGACUAGAGUAGGUGAGAGGGAAGUAGAAUUCCAGGUGUAGCGGUGAAAUGCGUAGAGAUCUGGAGGAAUACCGAUGGCGAAGGCAGCUUCCUGGCAUCAUACUGACACUGAGGUUCGAAAGCGUGGGUAGCAAACAGGAUUAGAUACCCUGGUAGUCCACGCCGUAAACGAUGUCUACCAGUCGUUGGGUCUCUUGAAGACUUAGUGACGCAGUUAACGCGAUAAGUAGACCGCCUGGGGAGUACGGCCGCAAGGUUAAAACUCAAAUGAAUUGACGGGGGCCCGCACAAGCGGUGGAGCAUGUGGUUUAAUUCGAUGCAACGCGAAGAACCUUACCUACUCUUGACAUCCAAAGAAGAACUC